UUUACUGAUUACAACUGUGUGGUCGAAUACUACAGAACUAGAGUAAACGUAUCUAUUUUGAUCCUUAAAAAAAAAAUUGCAUUUUAAUAUCUAUUCACUUUUGUAUAUUUCUACUUCAAACAAAUAAACGUUUUAUUAUACGUUAUUCGAGAACCGUGUACGUGCAUAUCCUGCAGAUUAUAUAUAGUAGAUCGACGAUAUGACCAUUAGUACAAAAUUUCAACAGAAACAGCGAAUUCCUCUCCACCCUUCUAGCUGGAUCAGCGAACAACGUAAUCCCGUGGCCUGUGUCAGCUGACACGACCUAUCUUAUAGGAGCGCAAUGUAAAUGAUCAGCCAACACCGCUUCUACCUUCCGCUUUGCUGUAGGAUACCGUAGAUUUCCACGGCAUUUGAAUUUUUUUUGCCGGUCUCGAUUUACUGUAGUAAUUAUAAAAAUUGUCUUCAAUAUGUUUGAAAUUUUCUUACACUAACUCAAACUCAGAGUCGAACGCUUUUAUUUAUAAAUAAAUAAACUAUUUUUAAUAGUUUGUUUUCA
Bactrocera neohumeralis is the source of this 538-nucleotide long non-coding RNA. RefSeq lists it as uncharacterized. NCBI's taxonomy places the organism in Eukaryota, Metazoa, Arthropoda, Insecta, Diptera, Tephritidae. The record is from RefSeq and is a predicted model, not a curated record. The transcript is spliced from 2 exons.